This 264-nucleotide ribosomal RNA is filed under the name uncultured bacterium. RNAcentral describes it as "partial 16S ribosomal RNA". It matches the Rfam family "Bacterial small subunit ribosomal RNA", at positions 793 to 1055 of the family's 1533-position model. The record is from RNAcentral.
GUCCUAGCCCUAAACGAUGAAGACUUGGUAUGGCGGGUACCAAUCCUGCCGUGCCGGAGCUAACGCAGUAAGUCUUCCGCCUGGGGAGUACGGUCGCAAGGCUGAAAACUCAAAGGAAUUGACGGGGGCCCCGCACAAGCGGUGGAGCAUGUGGUUCAAUUCGACGCAACGCGAAGAACCUUACCUGGGCUCGAAGCGCAGUGGAAUCCGGGUGAAAAUCCGGCGCCCGCAAGGGCCGCUGCGGAGGUGCUGCAUGGCUGUCGU